AGGCCACUGGGUAAAGGAAGUGGAGCGAGGGCUCAGAUCCUUUCGCUAGCCCACUUCACCGGGGUAGUGCAGAAGCCAGGAAAGUUCCCCAUAAGAGCGGGACUAUCCCCCCGCUUACAUAAGCAACCCAUCUGGAAUCAUGCCUGCUGGAA
This is a long non-coding RNA of Chelonia mydas (Green sea turtle), 152 nucleotides long. RefSeq lists it as uncharacterized. The transcript is spliced from 3 exons. The record is from RefSeq and is a predicted model, not a curated record. Lineage: Eukaryota; Metazoa; Chordata; Testudines; Cheloniidae.